RNAcentral lists this non-coding RNA (31 nucleotides) under Homo sapiens (human). Lineage: Eukaryota; Metazoa; Chordata; Mammalia; Primates; Hominidae. The record is from RNAcentral.
GAGAAGGGAAAAACUUGACCCUGCCUGCACC